RNAcentral lists this ribosomal RNA (252 nucleotides) under uncultured bacterium. RNAcentral describes it as "partial 16S ribosomal RNA". It matches the Rfam family "Bacterial small subunit ribosomal RNA", at positions 524 to 776 of the family's 1533-position model. The record is from RNAcentral.
AACGUAGGACGCAAGCGUUAUCCGGAGUUACUGGGCGUAAAGCGCAGGCAGGCGGCUCGUCAAGUGGGAUGUGAAAGCGCUCAGCUUAACUGGGCGAUGCAUUCCAAACUGAUGGGCUGGAGGGCAGUAGAGGUAGGCGGAAUUCCAGGUGUAGCGGUGAAAUGCGUAGAUAUCUGGAGGAACACCGGUGGCGAAGGCGGCGUUCUGGACUGUCUCUGACACUGAAGAACGAAAGCCAGGGGAGCAAACGGG